RNAcentral lists this ribosomal RNA (465 nucleotides) under Vreelandella stevensii. Its description in RNAcentral is "partial 16S ribosomal RNA". It matches the Rfam family "Bacterial small subunit ribosomal RNA", at positions 338 to 795 of the family's 1533-position model. The record is from RNAcentral. Lineage: Bacteria; Pseudomonadati; Pseudomonadota; Gammaproteobacteria; Oceanospirillales; Halomonadaceae.
CCUACGGGUGGCAGCAGUGGGGAAUAUUGGACAAUGGGCGAAAGCCUGAUCCAGCCAUGCCGCGUGUGUGAAGAAGGCCUUCGGGUUGUAAAGCACUUUCAGUGGGGAAGAAAGCCUUGGGGCUAAUACCCUCGAGGAAGGACAUCACCCACAGAAGAAGCACCGGCUAACUCCGUGCCAGCAGCCGCGGUAAUACGGAGGGUGCGAGCGGUAAUCGGAAUUACUGGGCGGAAAGCGCGCGUAGGCGGUCUGAUAAGCCGGUUGUGAAAGCCCCGGGCUCAACCUGGGAACGGCAUCCGGAACUGUCAGGCUAGAGUGCAGGAGAGGAAGGUAGAAUUCCCGGUGUAGCGGUGAAAUGCGUAGAGAGCGGGAGGAAUACCAGUGGCGAAGGCGGCCUUCUGGACUGACACUGACGCUGAGGUGCGAAAGCGUGGGUAGCAAACAGGAUUAGAUACCCUGGUAGUC